UGGGGAAUUUUGGACAAUGGGCGCAAGCCUGAUCCAGCCAUGCCGCGUGCGGGAAGAAGGCCUUCGGGUUGUAAACCGCUUUUGUCAGGGAAGAAAUCUUCUGAGUUAAUACCUCGGGAGGAUGACGGUACCUGAAGAAUAAGCACCGGCUAACUACGUGCCAGCAGCCGCGGUAAUACGUAGGGUGCAAGCGUUAAUCGGAAUUACUGGGCGUAAAGCGUGCGCAGGCGGUUUUGUAAGACAGAGGUGAAAUCCCCGGGCUCAACCUGGGAACUGCCUUUGUGACUGCAAGGCUUGAGUGCGGCAGAGGGGGGAUGGAAUUCCGCGUGUAGCAGUGAAAUGCGUAGAUAUGCGGAGGAACACCGAUGGCGAAGGCAAUCCCCUGGGCCUGCACUGACGCUCAUGCACGAAAGCGUGGGGAGCAAACAGGAUUAGAUACCCUGGUAGUCCACGCCCUAAACGAUGUCAACUGGUUGUUGGGAAGGUUCCUUCUCAGUAACGUAGCUAACGCGUGAAGUUGACCGCCUGGGGAGUACGGCCGCAAGGUUGAAACUCAAAUGAAUUGACGGGGUCA
RNAcentral lists this ribosomal RNA (574 nucleotides) under uncultured bacterium. RNAcentral describes it as "partial 16S ribosomal RNA". It matches the Rfam family "Bacterial small subunit ribosomal RNA", at positions 355 to 921 of the family's 1533-position model. The record is from RNAcentral.